UUAAAUUGAAGAGUUUGAUCAUGGCUCAGAUUGAACGCUGGCGGCAGGCCUAACACAUGCAAGUCGAGCGGUAGCACAGAGAGCUUGCUCUCGGGUGACGAGCGGCGGACGGGUGAGUAAUGUCUGGGAAACUGCCUGAUGGAGGGGGA
RNAcentral lists this ribosomal RNA (149 nucleotides) under Klebsiella quasipneumoniae. Its description in RNAcentral is "16S rRNA. Bacterial SSU". It matches the Rfam family "Bacterial small subunit ribosomal RNA", at positions 1 to 143 of the family's 1533-position model. The record is from RNAcentral. Lineage: Bacteria; Pseudomonadati; Pseudomonadota; Gammaproteobacteria; Enterobacterales; Enterobacteriaceae.